GACGAACGCUGGCGGCGUGCCUAAUACAUGCAAGUCGAGCGGACUAAUGGGAGCUUGCUCCCGUUAGUUAGCGGCGGACGGGUGAGUAACACGUGGGCAACCUACCUGUAAGACUGGGAUAACUUCGGGAAACCGGAGCUAAUACCGGAUGACAUAAAGGAACUCCUGUUCCUUUAUUGAAAGAUGGCUUCGGCUAUCACUUACAGAUGGGCCCGCGGCGCAUUAGCUAGUAGGUGAGGUAACGGCUCACCAAGGCGACGAUGCGUAGCCGACCUGAGAGGGUGAUCGGCCACACUGGGACUGAGACACGGCCCAGACUCCUACGGGAGGCAGCAGUAGGGAAUCUUCCGCAAUGGACGAAAGUCUGACGGAGCAACGCCGCGUGAGCGAUGAAGGCCUUCGGGUCGUAAAGCUCUGUUGUUAGGGAAGAAUAAGUGCUAGUUGAAUAAGCUGGCACCCUGACGGUACCUAACCAGAAAGCCACGGCUAACUACGUGCCAGCAGCCGCAGUAA
This 513-nucleotide ribosomal RNA is filed under the name uncultured bacterium. RNAcentral describes it as "partial 16S ribosomal RNA". It matches the Rfam family "Bacterial small subunit ribosomal RNA", at positions 28 to 523 of the family's 1533-position model. The record is from RNAcentral.